Molecule: non-coding RNA, 421 nt
Organism: Pelobates cultripes (western spadefoot toad)
Lineage: Eukaryota; Metazoa; Chordata; Amphibia; Anura; Pelobatidae
Source: the annotation of a GenBank genome assembly
CCAGGAACAGUAAGGUGGAGGCACCUAGGACAUAGAGAAGAAUGGAAGGGGGUCCCCGAGCCAUUUUGGCGUGACAAUCAAAUGUUGGGAGGAGUCGGAGGGGGUUGUUAUAAAAUGUAGCCAUGAGAGUGCCGCUUUAAGGUUAAAGGCAGGGUUAGUUAGCGGGUACAUUGAUUAAAGGUAGGAUUAGUUAGGGGGUAUAUUGAUAAAAUUUAGGGUUAGUUAGGGGGUACAUUGAUAAAAGAUAGGGUUAGUUAGUGGGUACAUUGAUAUAAGGUAGGGUUAGUUAGCUGGUACAUUGAUAAAAGGUAGGGUUAGUUACAGGGGUACAUUAAUAUAAGGUAGGGUUAGUUAGGGGGUACAUUGAUAAAAGGUAGGGUUAGCUAGGGGUACACUGAUAAAAGGUGGGAAUAGUUAGGGG